This 454-nucleotide ribosomal RNA is filed under the name Hydrocoleum lyngbyaceum HL (L0055299). Its description in RNAcentral is "bacterial SSU rRNA". It matches the Rfam family "Bacterial small subunit ribosomal RNA", at positions 202 to 674 of the family's 1533-position model. Lineage: Bacteria; Bacillati; Cyanobacteriota; Cyanophyceae; Oscillatoriales; Microcoleaceae. The record is from RNAcentral.
AAAAAUUUAUUGCCUGGAGAUGAGCUCGCGUCUGAUUAGCUAGUUGGUAAGGUAAAAGCUUACCAAGGCGACGAUCAGUAGCUGGUCUGAGAGGAUGAGCAGCCACACUGGGACUGAGACACGGCCCAGACUCCUACGGGAGGCAGCAGUGGGGAAUUUUCCGCAAUGGGCGAAAGCCUGACGGAGCAAGACCGCGUGGGGGAGGAAGGCUCUAGGGUUGUAAACCCCUUUUCUUUGGGAAGAACAAAAUGACGGUACCAAAGGAAUCAGCCUCGGCUAACUCCGUGCCAGCAGCCGCGGUAAUACGGAGGAGGCAAGCGUUAUCCGGAAUGAUUGGGCGUAAAGCGUCCGCAGGUGGCCAUGUAAGUCUGCUGUCAAAACCCAGGGCUCAACUCUGGUCAGGCAGUGGAAACUACAAAGCUAGAGUUCGGUAGGGGCAAAGGGAAUUCCCGGU